Molecule: ribosomal RNA, 436 nt
Filed under: uncultured bacterium
Lineage: Bacteria
Description: bacterial SSU rRNA
Rfam family: Bacterial small subunit ribosomal RNA
Source: RNAcentral
CAGGCCUAACACAUGCAAGUCGAACGCCCGAGCAAUCGGGAGUGGCAGACGGGUGAGUAACACGUGGGAACAUACCCUUCGGUUCGGAACAACGCCGGGAAACUGGCGCUAAUACCGGAUACGCCCUUUGGGGGAAAGGCUUGUACGCCGAAGGAGUGGCCCGCGUUCGAUUAGCUUGAUGGCGGGGUAACGGCCCACCAUGGCGACGAUCGAUAGCUGGUCUGAGAGGAUGGCCAGCCACAUUGGGACUGAGACACGGCCCAAACUCCUACGGGAGGCAGCAGGUGGGAAUAUUGGACAAUGGGCGCAAGCCUGAUCCAGCCAUGCCGCGUGAGUGAUGACGGCCUUAGGGUUGUAAAGCUCUUUCGCACGCGACGAUAAUGACGGUAGCGUGAGAAGAAGCCCCGGCUAACUUCGUGCCAGCAGCCGCGGUAAU